AUAAUCGUCACACGAGCAUUUAAGCACCUUUUGCGAACCUGUCUGUCUGGAACAAAGCACGAAAGCGUGAGGUGAUAGCUUUUCAAGGGCGCCGCUGCGCUUUCGGAGCGCGGCAGUUACAGGAGCCCUGCCUGUGCUCUCUGCUUUGGGUGGGUGUGACCGCUUAGCGCAAACCCUUAAGGGGAAAGUCGUGGUUAUACCAUUGAAGGCUGUGAAUGACUAGUGCUUAGAGAAAGCAGAACUCCGAGGGAAUGACCAGCGAGAAAAACACCUCCUGACAGUAAGCUUCACAAAACCACUAAAAUGUGCACGCCGAGAGUCUGUUAGAGCAGUGUGUAUGCGUUCAUGCCAUUUCCUCUCGAGUUUAUUCAACACUGCUCUGCACUAUAAAAUCAGAUCCAACUACUGUUACCACAACCAGAGCUUACCCACCGGUAUGAAGGGUGUAAACUUACGAACAGCAAGCAAAUGCCUGCGCAAGAUGGAAAUGGAGGAAAACCAGGCUUCCUAUAAGAUAUUCAAUAUCAGAAGAUAUCUGGAGUGAAUGGAGCGAAGCCAUUGUCUGCUGGAGAAAAUAUACUGUAAAAUAUGACUGAAAUCCUGGAGAGCACAGCUCGCCUUGAUUAUUUUGGGUCCGUGGAGUGCAGAAAGGGUGGGACUCCCGGUGGAUGUAGAAAGACUUCCAAGCCUUGGUGUCACCCAGGAAUCAUCCCCAGCAAAGCAACCCUCGGAGACGGCGAGAUCCUGAGAACUUGGCCAGUCAUCUUGUGAGGGUGACGGAGGGCUGGAGUGGAGACAGCAGACUGCCACCUGUGAUACAGUCUCACCAUGCAAACUCCUGUUGACGAGCGAGUAUGGACUCUUGCUCCCCCACACAACACGCCUGCCUCCGCCGCCGAGAGCACACACCGACUCAAACGUCACAAGCCGGCGCUGAUUAAGUCUGGUAUUUCAGAGGAGCUGAGUGUUUUCUACAUCAGGCGUGGGGGAGCUCCAGCCUGCUGUCUCUGACAUCGGCCACCUUUUCCUCAAAACCCUCUCGUGUAGGGGGUGUCCCUCGCUAUUGGUCCUAAAAAGCCACAGUCCUGAUGGUUUUAUAGGGAACUCAACAUCCUCAAAUGCUAAAGACUCAGUGCUGGAAUUAAAACCAAACAGGGCAAUACUGGAAUUAGUGUGGCCUUCCAGGACCAGGAGUGACGAUCACUGAUGUUGGCGAUCAAUAUUGAAUGUAUAAAAAUUAAUAUCUGUUGUAAUCAAAUACCAUUUUAGUGUACUGUGGGUGUCCUUUCCAGCAUUUAGAAUUCAGAGACCUAUGAAAUACUAUUAUAACACAACCUCCUUUUAAAGUUAAUUGUUGUGUUUAAAAUGAUAUUAACUCCUGCCUUUGUUUCCACACUCUGAUUGAAGGGCUGAGAGAUCUUAUCAGUUGAAAGGACUGUAAAUUAAUAAUCUGUGUAUUAUCUGCAUUAGUACUAAAAUUAAAGCUACCUCAAAUAAUCUAUAUUAGUUUUAAUGCAUCACAACUCUAUUGUUGUUUUCAAAAGGUAAAGAUAACAGUAUGUUGACUAAUUAAGAGCUCAUAUGUGUUGGAUUAGGUAAAAAUAGAUGUAUAUUUAGUUUAAAAGGCAAAUGAUUGUGUGUACAGUGGAAAUCUGAACAUAAAAUAUACCAGGCUUAUCUAAAUAUACUGUAUGCAUGUGUCAAACCCAGAACCUUUAGGACAUGAAUUCAGAAUUUGUCCUUGAAGGUUUUCACCUUAAUUUGUGCACCUUAACAUAUUUAAGAUUUUUCUUAGAUAAGGUUAAGGUUUUAGAUCAGGUGUGAGACACUCAUUUUCUGAAAGGGCUGCAGAAUCCUCCACUUUUUCUUCCAAAUUUGGUCUCGUUUGGUCUCAUUAAUUGAUGUGAUAAUUAAGAAAUUGCUUCCCUGUAUCUGCAGUAUACAAAGAACUGGGGAAAUGGGGUUAAACUGAUUAAGUUAAACUACUAAUUAGCUCAAUUAGCUAAGAGCAUGGGAGGAAUGAAACACGACAGCCUCUACGGCUCUCCAAGACAAGAGCAGUUUAUGAAUGAAUUCAGAUCACAAAGACUUACCCAUAUAGCAAAGGGUUAAAACUACAGUUUUGUCAGAUGAGCUUGAUCCACGUUACAGUUGCAAUAAAGCUGCAUCAGGUCUGGCUUGACGUAUUCACUUGUUCCACUUAAAUAAUUACCCGUGUUCCAUCUGCCGACUCUGGUUUUAGACACAAUACCUAAGAAAUGCUCAGAGGCCGGGAUAGACAAAUGUUGCCCUUUGACUCAAAUAAUGCGAUAAAGUAAGAGAGCUACAAUGAGGAUGCAGUCCUGGUAGCCACGGAAAGAGACA
Molecule: long non-coding RNA, 2364 nt
Organism: Lepisosteus oculatus (spotted gar)
Lineage: Eukaryota; Metazoa; Chordata; Actinopteri; Semionotiformes; Lepisosteidae
Source: RefSeq, a predicted model, not a curated record